Molecule: long non-coding RNA, 341 nt
Organism: Lingula anatina
Lineage: Eukaryota; Metazoa; Brachiopoda; Lingulata; Lingulida; Lingulidae
Source: RefSeq, a predicted model, not a curated record
ACAAUUUUAGAAGAAUAAAUUUGGAGGAUCCUGAUCAUCGGAUCGCGGUAGAGCCAUCUGAACCAUCACAAGUAUUCAGAGAGGACAGGUAUAAAGGGACGUUCACAAGUUACAGAGAUGGACAACACCUGUAUCAUCUACUCAUGUGACCGUCAGAAGAGGGAAACAUGCAUGUUAACAACAAUGGAUGAGCUGCUACAAGACGCCAGGGAACUUUUGGGUUUUGGACAAGAUGACCAGCUCUCUGUCGUGCUGGAAAGAGAAGGAGCUAGGAUAACCAAAGAAGACGUUCUUCAUGGCAUAGCUAAGAAAAGAGAUGUUUUAGAACUGAUGAUCCUCAA